CUGUACUAGAUGGGGAGGUAGCGGCACCCUGUAACCUGCAAUCCGCUAUAGCAGGGUUGAACUCCAUCUGGAGGAUUUGUAAUUGAAGUGCAGUCUUUAUUUACUUGGUGUUGACGCUCAGGUCCUGAGCAAUGGAAGCUUGUGAAUCCCGUCAGAUCUGGAAGGAAGCAGCGGUAAGCAAUCCCUUCUGUGUGACUCAGGGAUGCCUUGGCUGAGCUGAGUAAUAGGGCAACGGCUUUGAGGAAAAGACGAUAGAUGGUGUACAG
Molecule: non-coding RNA, 266 nt
Rfam family: Bacterial large signal recognition particle RNA
About the family: The signal recognition particle (SRP) is a universally conserved ribonucleoprotein involved in the co-translational targeting of proteins to membranes. Archaeal SRP consists of a 7S RNA and homologues of the eukaryotic SRP19 and SRP54 proteins.
Source: Rfam